Non-coding RNA from Pelodiscus sinensis (Chinese soft-shelled turtle), 4544 nucleotides. The record is from RefSeq and is a predicted model, not a curated record. Lineage: Eukaryota; Metazoa; Chordata; Testudines; Trionychidae.
CAAAGUUGAGUAGCUCUGUUCUACUCUCUUUGGACUUCCUUUUACUUCUAAUAUAUUUGUGGAAUGUUUUCUUGUUUCUCUUUAUGUCUUUAGCUAGUUUGAGCUUGUUUGUGCCUUGGCCUUUCUAAUUUUACUGCUACAUAUUUUUGUUAGUUUGUAUUCAUCCUUUGUAACUUUACCUAGUUUCCACUUUUAGUAUGACUCCUUUUUGAUUUUUAGAUCAUUGAAGAUCUUCUGCUUAAAUUAAUGUAGUUUCUUGCCGUACUUCCUAUCUUUCCUACUCUGUCAAAUAGUUUGUUCUUGCACCCUUUAUGUCUCUCUGAAAAAUUGCCACCUGUCUUCAACUGUUUUUCCUCUUAGACUUACUCCCUAUGGGACCUUACCUACCAACUCCCUGAGUUUUCUAAAGUGUGUCGUCUUGAAAUCCAUUGUCUUUAUUUUGCUGUUUUCCUUCCUACCAUUCUUUAGAAUCAUGAACUCUAUCAUUUCACAAUCACUUUUAACCCAACCUUCCAUCCACUUUCAAAUUCUCAACCAGUUCCUCCCUAUUUGUUAAAAUUAAAUCUAGAACAGACUUCUUCCAGUAGCUUUCUCCAUCUUCUGAAAUAACACCCCAAGAACUUAUUGGAUAAUCUGUGCCUUGCUAUCUUGUUUUUCCAACAGAUGUUUGGAUUGAAGUCCCCCAUCACCACCAAGUCCUGUGCUUUGGGUGAUUUUAUUUAAAAAAAGGGGGGGGGGGCUCAUCCACAUUUGCUUCUUGGUUAGCUGGUCUGUAGUAGACCCUUACCAUGAUAUCACCCUUGGUUUUUUACCUCUUUUGUUCUAAAUUUUUAUCCUUAGACUCUCCAAGUCUGUCUGAGUUCCAUCUCAGCUUCAGUCCAAAUGUAUACAUUUUUAAUAUAUAAGGCAACACCUCUUCCUUUUUUUCCCUGACUGUCCUUCCUGAGCAAGCUGUACCCUUCUAUACUAAUAUUCUAGUCAUAUGUAUUAUCCCAGUCAUAUGUAUUAUAUAUUAGUGAGAGGCAAAUCCAGGGAGCAAGUUCUGUUGCAUGUCCAAUUCACACUUCAAUCAUCUGGAUCUCAUCUUUAACAAAAGGAAGUUGACAUUAAUACCCACUCAAAAAAUUGCGUUCAUUGGAGCCCUAUUAGAUUCUACAAGUUCAAGAGCUUUUCUGCCAGAUGAAUGAUUUCAAGCAGUUUGUCUCCUAUAUCUGACACUACAAGUUGAACCUUCAACUAUGGGCCGUGCAUGCUUAAAAUAACUCUGUCAUUUGGCUGCAUGCACUUGUAUAGUCCAGCAUGCAAGAUCACACUUCAUUCUCCUCAAAGUAUGAUUGAAAUUGGCCUAUCGGCCUCAGUUGUCAAUCACUGGACUCCCAAUAGUGUUGUUCAGAGAUAUAUGCCAGGUUGUUUCCUUUGCUCAUCCUCCACUGACUAGGACUGUAAUCACCAGUUUUGAGACAUUUACAGUGUUGCUUGUCAUCCUUUGGGAUCACGUAAGGGGGAUAGUGGUUCAUAUAUUCACUACAAAUAUUGCUGUGUCGUUUUAUGUGAACAAGUAAGGAGGAGCCCACUCCAACUAGCUUUUUCAGGAUGCAAUAAAAUUCUGGCUGUUCUAUAUCCAGGACAGUAUCUUUCUUCCAGAAGUUAACUUAACUAAGGUUCAGAAUAACUUGGCAGAUCACUUCAGUGAGAAUAUUUCCCUGUAUCACAAAUGGUAUAAGUCCGAAGUGCUAAGAUCCAUCUUUGAAACAUAGGACAUUCCAACUAUCAAUCUGUUUACAACAAACACAAGACAUGCCAUCGGUUUUGCUCUUGAGUAAGUCUCAAUCCAUGCUCCUUAAUUGACGACACCUAGCUCAACUGGGAAUCAGCUCUCCUGUAUACUAUCUCCCUGAAAACCGAUCAUCCCAGAGGUCAUUCUGAAGUUGAAAUUGGAUCAUGGCAGACUAAUUUUCAUCACACUAGUUUGGCUGAGAUGACGUUGGUUCUCCGACCUAUUUAGGCUGUCGGUUUGACCUCCCAUAGCUAUUCCUCCUUAUCCCAAUCUACUCAUUCAACAUCAGAGUCGAGUUUUGCAUUCAGCACUCUCCAUCUUUUGCAUGGAUGCUGUCUGGCUAGAUGAAGAACCCUGUUUGAAAAGUGUUCCUCAAAUGUUGCUUAACAAUAGGAAGCCCUCUACUUAGGCAACAUUUUUUUGCUACAUUGAAGUGAUUUUUUUUAGUGUGGUCGCUAGAUUGGUAUUCAUAAGAGCAUAAGAAUGUCCAUACGGGGUCAGACAAAAGGUCCAUCUAGCCCAGUAUGCUGUCUUCUGACAGUGACCAGUGUCAGGUGCCUCAUCUUCCUCUUGGUCUUCAUGCUGAAUGAAUUGAGGGAUGGUGGGGUGAUGCUACCCUUAAAUAGUAAGGGGAGCAGGUAAGGCCACAAGGCAUAAAUAUCACUCCUACAGGUACUUUUCACAAAGCUCUCCAGCUUCUGUGCACUGGGUUCAUGGACACAUGAGUGGUAUACAUGUCUGCACACACAUAUCAAAGAACAACUGUUACAGGUAAGCAACCAUUUUUUACAGUGUAUUCACAUGAUAUAAUUUGUAAGGAUGUUAAAAAGCAUUUAAUAUGGCAACUGUGUAGCCACUAAAAUUCUUAGCAGUUACAUAGUUACAUGCACUGUGGGCUCUGUAGUAUAAAGCUUACAUAAGCUGGCAGCUCUUGCCUGCCAGGAUCCCAGGGGGGAGGAAGGUUCGCUGGCCUGGUGCAGUGAAGCUGCACUUCCCCUGGAGCAGGCUGAAUGAGACCAUUAAUGGAUAAGUAUCAGCUUAUUGGUUAAACAGUUAGUCAAUUAAGCUCUAACAUCCCUAAUAAUUUGUCUUUUUUUUUUUUAAUGUUUAUAGCUAUACAGCUGCCAGUGGUUUACUUACAUUUGGGUUACUAGAAUGUUGGUGAGAAUUAUAUUAACACAUUUGCACACUUUCAAUUAAUUGAAUUCUAAGAUACUCAGUUAUUGCUGUUCAGCAUAUCUGAUAUUACAGUGACCAGUGUGGCUUUAGUGACUCGGUUGUCCUUGGCAAUCUAAAAUGUGUCUGUAUUGAUGACAUGGGGUGGAUAUACCCUGCACUAUAAGAGGGGGACUGAAAGGCCUAUGAGCAGAGGAAGCACCACCCAUUUCUACCAAUUGGACAUGCUCCUGGUGUGGGGACUGUAUAAAAGGCCUGGGGACAUCCCAUUCAAGGGAAACUGCAAGCAGCAAGGGAGCUCAGGCAGGAGCCUCUGAUCCCUCCGGGUCAUCACAGCUGCCCUCUGAGCAGCAACCCCAGCAGCAGCCACUGCCGACAGAGGAGCACGCCCCACAGCCACCGCUCCAGCCACCGCCGCACCUGGAGCAGCCAAACCCCGCUGCAACCCCAGAGACUACCCUGACCAAGGGGAGAGUCAGCCAUAAGCAGGGAUGGGCCUUCUGGAAAGGACAUAUGGACUCAUGGCUAUAAUACAUGAUGGGAGUUGAAGUCUGUCUCUUCAGCUUUUGAGAGUGGUUCUUAAGGUGUUUCUCUCUCCUCUCUGAGGAACGUAAAACUUUCCUGUUGGAUCAAACCUGUGGUCCAUCUAGUCCAGGAGCCUCUGACUGUGGGUAGCCUCAAUUGCUUCAGAGAAAGGUAUAAAAACUGCCACAGUAGGUAGAAGUGGCAUAAUCUGCCUCCUCAGUUUUGUCUUAUUUUAGACUGUAAUGUUCAGCUAUCGGUUUAAGCCCUGAAGCACAAGGUAUUUUUUUCUCCCUUCUGUAGCUCUCAUUUUAUUAAUUGCUUUUAUAACUCUGGACAGCAUGAAACUUCUCAUUUUACAUCUUUAGGACAAAGAAACAAUUGACUACAUUUUUCCCUGGAGCACCUCCGGUUACAUAAAUGGAGUCACUUUAGGGAUGAAUUUGUGUAAUCGUGUUUCCCAGAAACACAUAGGUAUAAAUAAUUGGUAGCUUGGCUGGAGAUAUGGGGAGGAGAAUUCUGACUGCCCUGUCAAAUUAGAAAAUUUAAGAAAGUGCUAAGCAAAUGUUUCACAAUGAAUUUCAGCUGCAUAUCACUCUGAGUGUCUUUUUAUUGUCAUCCUUUGACAUGAUGAAUACUUACAGCAGUAUGUUUAAAAAAAAAAAGAUACAGUUAAGUCUCUUGUUUAAUUCUUGGCAUCACUGCAUAGCAGUCACAGCAUUUUCACACAAUCCGUUACUUCCUUUCAGCUUGUUACCCAUGAAGCAUGCACACACUUCAUAACUGAGCAGAAUCCUAGUCCAACUGAAGUCAAUGGAAGGUGAUUUCACUUGCACCAGGAUUUGGCUCAUAUAGUUGUAUUAGGUAUGUGUAUGGCUAUGUACAACAUUUUACAAUAAACAUGACAUUUCUAUACAAUUUUGUGUUUAAAUUUAACGGAAUAUACUGUACAUCUAAGUCAAACUUUUUAUGCUCUGCAUGUAAAAGUUUGUGUACCUAAAAUAUAGGAUGGAUUAUAGCAAUAAAUGAUUGUUUGCACCAAUGGGAAGGUUAAAUGUACAGUCUUGCA